GGAAAGGUGAAAAGCACCCCGGAAGGGGAGUGAAAUAGUUCCUGAAACCGUGUGCCUACAAGCAGUCAGAGCUCGGCUUGUCCGGGUGAUGGCGUGCCUAUUGAAGAAUGAGCCGACGAGUUACGGUCAGUGGCAAGGUUAAGCAACGAGAGUUGCGGAGCCGGAGCGAAAGCGAGUCUGAAUAGGGCGUUCAGUCGCUGGCUGUAGACCCGAAACCGAGUGAUCUACCCAUGGGCAGCGUGAAGCGAGGGUAAUGCCUCGUGGAGGCGCGAACCUUCCUGCGUUGCAAAGCAGUUGGAUGACCUGUGGGUAGCGGAGAAAUUCCAAUCGAACUCGGAGAUAGCUGGUUCUCCUCGAAAUGCAUCUAGGUGCAGCCUCGAGUGUUAUCCGCCGGAGGUAGGGCUCUGAUUGGGCUAGGGGGCAUAGCGCUUACCAAACCCAUUCAAACCAUGAAUGCCGGUGGACGAGAGCUCGGGAGUGAGACAGCGGGGGCUAAGCUUCGUUGUCAAAAGGGAAACAGCCCAGACCCUCAGCUAAGGUCCCUAAAUCCACGCUCAGUGUUAAAGGAUGUCCGGUCGCACAGACAGCCAGGAUGUUGGCUUAGAAGCAGCCACCAUUGAAAGAGUGCGUAAUAGCUCACUGGUCGAGUGACCGGGCGCCGACAAUGUAUCGGGGCUCAAGCGUGGUACCGAAGCUAGGGGAUCGCUCCUUCGGGAGUGAUCGGUAGAGGAGCGUUCUGCGUGCAGUGAAGCCGGCGGGGUGACCCCUGGUGGAGCGCGUAGAAGUGAGAAUGUCGGCAUGAGUAGCGUAAUUCAGGUGAGAAACCUGAACGCCGUAAGCCUAAGGGUUCCUACGCAAGGUUAUUCCGCGUAGGGUUAGGCGGGCCUAAGCCGAGGGCGAGAGCCGUAGGCGAUGGACAGCAGGUUAGUAUUCCUGCCCCACUGUAUUUGCGUUUGAGACGAGAGGCGUGACCCGGGAGGAUAGAUGGAGCGGGCCUUGUGGACUUGGCCCGUCCUUGCACCGUAGGCGUCUGGGGAUAGGCAAAUCCGUUCCCAGGUUAAGCGGAGGGUGCGAGGGAAGCGGAGACGUCAGUCAAAGCGAUUCUGUUGAGUCCAUGCCGGCUAGAAAAGCGUCGUCGUCGAGUAAGUACGGUGCCCGUACCGCAAACCGACACUGGUGGGCGACGGUAAGUACCGUCAGGCGUUCGAGAGAACCCUCGUUAAGGAACUCUGCAAUUUAGCUCCGUAACUUCGGGAGAAGGAGCGCCCUUGAGCGUGUAGGACUUCGCGUCCGAAGCGCCCGGGGGCCGCAGCGAGCCGGUCCAGGCGACUGUUUAACAAAAACACAGGUCUCUGCUAAACCGUAAGGUGAUGUAUAGAGGCUGAUGCCUGCCCAAUGCUCGAAGGUCAAACCGGUUGCUGAUCGUAUUUAUUACGCUAGGCGAACGACUAAGCCCGAGUGAAUGGCGGCCGUAACUAUAACGGUCCUAUGGUAGCGAAAUUCCUUGUCGGGUAAGUUCCGACCUGCACGAAUGGCGUAACGAUGGCCACACUGUCUCC
Molecule: ribosomal RNA, 1559 nt
Filed under: Betaproteobacteria bacterium
Lineage: Bacteria; Pseudomonadati; Pseudomonadota; Betaproteobacteria
Description: partial 23S ribosomal RNA
Rfam family: Bacterial large subunit ribosomal RNA
Source: RNAcentral